This 2986-nucleotide long non-coding RNA is filed under the name Bemisia tabaci. RNAcentral describes it as "lncRNA ENSSWEETPG005548". Lineage: Eukaryota; Metazoa; Arthropoda; Insecta; Hemiptera; Aleyrodidae. The record is from RNAcentral.
AUGACAUCAUCGUCCGACGAGGAAGACGGAAGGCAUUUUUCGGAGCAGGCGAGCUCUGAUGAAAGCGGCGUCAAUGAGCAGCAACUAAACGACACAAUUUGGAAUAACGUACGUGAUAACAUUUUCUCAUCCUUACGGCAACUAUCAUCGAAUAGAACAGAGAGCGCGCCCAACGAGGUUUUUUCGUCGCACGAGCAGUGUAAUUUUCAAGAUUAUAUUUUCUCAUCAAGUACGAAUUGCACUUUUGGCCAACUGAUAUACAAUCUAGUGGAGGAGUCUUCAUUCGUUCUUCAGAAUCAAAAUUUCUCCGAGCGGAAUCUUCUAGACACGAUGCCAGACACUAAUUCCAUCUCAGGACGGCGGAAGGCAUCUUUAAAGUACAUCACUUUUCUACUAGGCGUCUUGGUCGUCAAACUUCUGAUUGUAUUACCGCUGGUUAUUUUAACGGCCGGUAAAUCCAUAGCCUUGAGUCUCCUGUCAUUGGGCGUUUGCUACCGCUAAUGUAUUUCAAAAUAAAAUAAUCUACCCUACAUGAAGCGUCGAGACGAGGUUUCGCCGUUUGCAUACGACAAAUUUUCUCUCGGACCCCAUAGCUUUAGAUGAUUUGUGUGAUCCAUCCGAUGAAACGUGGAUUACAUGGUAGGCGCUUUAAUAAAGUUCCAACCUGAAAAAGAGUCUUGAUGUAUUUAUUUAGCAAGGGCCCACCUAUGAGAUAUACUUUAGACACUAGGAAAAAUGAGCAUUGAUAUCGACGGUGAACUGCAGGAAUGCGUAUCUCGUUUUGCGGCGUUGCUAACUUCUCGUCAUAUUUUAUUUUUACAUAAAAUUUACUGAACGUCAUGUUUUGAAAACUGCAGUGAUUUAACUGCUUUAUAUAAAGAAUAUUCCGUAAAAAUUUCAAACUAUGAAGUUUGUUUGGUACAAUGUGAAAAAUAAAAUAAAACCGGAUAUUCUGAAGCACCGAAAUCGAGUUACGCAUUUUUGUAGUUCCAUCGUCGAUAUGUGAAGUCAACAACGAUACGUUACAAGUAACAAUACAAUACAUAUGUCGCAGGCAAUUAGUAAAAUCAGGCAUUUUAUCAAAUGCCUGGGCACAUGGUCAAUUCCAACUGUUUACGAAAUGUUGUUGUAAAUUUAGACGAAGAGCUCACGAUUUUUCAAUACUUUGGAAAGAAUUAAUCAUCAAAGCUGCAAAAUCUCUUGUUCUUUCCUCCUCAAAUGCUUAUCAUUUAUUUAAACCUUAAAGUUUUAAUCAUUUUUGUUAAUAGCACGGGUAAAGAGCCUCCCAAAAAAAGGGCCUUUUUUGGCCCCUUUUCUGAAACUCGGGGAUUUCAUUCAAAUGUGGCCUAAACGAAAACUCAUGAUGACCUAAGACUCCAGUAAUAAUUUUAGCUUGAGUAUACGUCUGGUCGGAGAUACAGCGUUGCAAAGUUUGCAUAUUUAAGCUUUAAAAAUCUUCAUGUUUUCAAAUAUUAUCUUCCUAAACCAACAUCAGAGUGAACUUUACAAUCUAAAACAAAGCGUAAAUGAAGCAUAAUGAUAAAAAAAGCCUCCAUUAAGAGUUUUAGCUCAUGCAUGACCCCUGUUUUGGUAGUGCAACGUUGCAAGUUUACCUUUCUGAGCUUUAAAAAUGCUCAUAUUUUUAAGUUUCUUGUUUAAAAACCAAUUUUAGUGAAUAUCAAACUGCACUUUGAGGGAUAAAAUUAAUCCCUAGUGGUACUCGUGUAUGCAAAGUUGCGUUGAUAUAAGGCUACGAGGAUUUCAAGUAACACAGCGUUGCACAGUUUACAUCCUAAAUCUCUGAAAAUGUCUUUUCUCUUGUUUUAUGAUAAGAGACAAUUCGAUCAAGCAUGUUUCGAUAUUGUAAAGCGAAAUACAAAGGACUCUGGUUAGUUCUACUUAAGUGACAGUUGGUGUAAAAAAUGACACUGUUGCCUAUUUUUCCUUUUUUCUCUCAACAUUUAAUCAUAAAAUAACAUUAAAAUUAGGAUACUUCCAAUAAUUAUCUAAUUUCAAAACAAAUUCAAGAGACUUUGCCAUGCUCGAUGAAAUACUCAGCAUCAGCGUUGCUUUCAAAAUCCAACAAAUAAUGCCUCACCAUAGUUGCCAAUUCGACCUUUUUUAAGUAAAAUGAAAAAAUAAAAAUAGAAUACGGAAUUUGUAGAGUUUUUUUUUUAAUUAUAAAUAUAUCUUGAUCUAGAGAAUAUUCAUACCUUGAAAAAUAGAGUACCUCCACUGUUUUUAAAAAAAAUUUAAAAAAUUAAAAAUAUUGAAAAAAAAUUAAAAAUUAAAAAUAUUUGAAAAAUUUUUUUAAAAAAUUAAAAGUAUUGAAGAAAUUUUAAAAAAUGUGAAAAAAAUUUAAAAAUUAAAAAAAAAAAAUAAAAAUUAAAAAGUAAAAUAAAAUUAAAAAACCCAAAUAAAGUAUCAAUUAUUUGAGGCAUCUUGACUUUAAAUAAUUUUAUUAUUCAUUGUUUGAAAAGAAGUAUUAAAAACUUAGCAAUAGUAUUUUUGCGAAUACCAAUCGUCGCUGGAACUGACAUCAGCCCCCGACAUUUUCCCUUGAUAUAAGGUAUGACACCCAUUGACGUCCUCUUUAACUAGCAUAAAAUAAUAAUUUCUAGAAUUUAAAGUUGUUAGCUUGGCAACGUUUGUAUCACCACCAAAUGUAAUCCCUGUUUAAAUACAAACAUAGAGCUACAAAUGACACAUUUGGUAUAUUUCAUGCUGUAAAUUCUAAAGAAGAUCCACGAAAGUCGUUUUUUUAAACGCGGAACUUAGAAAUAUAAACAUUUUAAAGCUGAAAUGUAUAAACUUAGCAACGCUGUAUCAUUAAAUCUGUACUUACGCUCGCGGUAAGGCCUAUACGGAAGACUUAUCAUAUAUAAAAUUACAUCUAAACACCAUACACAGAUCUUUUGGUGAUCAAUAAGUUCGUUUUUCCAUUCAGAACUUACAAAAAUAAGCAAUUUUUAUAUUGUUUUUGGUG